UGUCCAGCAACUCCUAUCCCUACCUCCUCGCGGUACUGAUCGGGGUACGAGCAAUCUAACGGGUAAUCAACCUCGGUGGGAACUUUGAUCGUAUGCUGAAAAGGAAGG
This is a non-coding RNA of Aedes aegypti (yellow fever mosquito), 108 nucleotides long. Lineage: Eukaryota; Metazoa; Arthropoda; Insecta; Diptera; Culicidae. The record is from Rfam.